UUAUACACCUACGACACCAAUAAUUUUUUUUUCAUUUUUUCUCUCACCGUGUAUACUUGUAUCUUCACAAGUAUUUUUAGAAUUACAAACCAGUGUUACUUGACACAAUGGAGGCAUUAAUAAAUAAAUGUUGUCUAAAAUUGUCAUUGUACAAACCCAACAAUGCCCGGGCCCAAUUAAACCUAGAAUAGCCCAACACCUAACCCUAGCCCACUAGCCCAAAGCAGAAACCACUGCAGAAACCCUAGGCUGUUAGCAGCAAGUUCAGCGCCGCAACGGCCUCGCCAAUGCGGCGCCCCUCGCUCCCGCACUUUGCGCGUCAAUCCCGCACAUCGCGCCGUCGCGAAUCUCGGACCUUCCCCACAAGCACGUACCUGCAACAAGCGAAAGAGAAUAGCAAAAGAUCCGGCCAACAAAGAGAAACAGAAGGGAUUUCUUUAGAUUUUGAUUUCAUUUUUUCCCAUUUUUGACUAUUUAAAAGGCCAUUUAGAAAUCUGUAAAGGGGGGAGUGUAAAAAAGAUACGAAAAUAGAGGGACCGAAAGAAAUACAAAGGCACAGAGGAAAUUUUCUUUUUUUUUGAAAUAAAAAGGUUUUCUUUUUUUUGUCGAUUAUCGUUCUUUCAUUUUUUUUCUUCAUUUGUACAUAUAUAUAUAUUUGAUUUUUUUACUUUCGCUAUUUUUUUAUUUAUUUUUGCUUAAAAUAUAAAGAAAGGAAGAGAAAACCUACCUUUUUCGCCGGAAUCGCCGAGUUGGUGCCCCUCUCUGUCGCGAUCGAAGAUCGGGGCAUCGACGGAAGCCUUGGCACGAGGCUGAGCGGUGGCAUAUAAGGGUUGAGGAAACCCUAAAAGGGUCUGGUUUCUCCUUUAGAAAGGGGAACCCAAAAGAACAAAUAAAUGUUCUUUUGCUUAAAUUUUUUUUUCUUUAAAACCUAAAAGAUGGACAAAGCAGGCGCCGUUUGGUUUUUGGGUGGGGUCUGCGCAUAUCAACCUUAAAUGGGAGAUUUGCACUACUAGUCCCUCUCCUUUGCGCCACGUUUUAUUAAGCCAGUUAUUUCUUUUUAAUUUGACCCAAAUGUUUUACCUUGUUUCAAAUCGGUCCUCAUAGUAGUGCAGCGUUUUAGGGAGGCGGAUUUAUUCCAUUUGGGCCCCCUCAGAUAAUGCGUGCGUUGCAAAUUGGUCCUGUUUUAUUUUAAUUUCAUCUUUUUUGGUUAUUUUGUUUUUUUCGCAAUUUGUUUUUUAAUUUUUAUUUUUAAAAGUAUUACUAUAUUAUUGAUUAUCAUUUAUUACUAUUUCUAUAUUUAUACACGCAUUUCUUAUAUAGUAUAUAUAUACAUAUUUCUUUAUAUAAUAUAUAUAACUUUUAUAAACACAUGCAUUCAUACGUUUUUUUCUUUUAUAGUUUUUUUUUUGUUUUUUAACUUUCAUAUAUUUCAUAUUUUAUAUACACUUAUACAUUUUUUAUUUUGUAAAUAUAUACACAUAUACAUUUUUUUAUCUUUAUUUUAUUUUCAUGAUUUUCAUAUACAUAUAUACAUGCAUUUUUUUAUUAGUUUUUUUGGUUAGAUGAAUUUCAUUCUUUCUUUUUGUUUGCAAAUUUAUUUGUAAAUUGUACUUGUAUAUAUACUUGUAAAUAUUUAUUCAUAUAUGUUUGAAAUUAAAGUUGUGUUUCAUAUUAUACAUUAACUUUUAACAUACCUUUCGAGAAAUAUAUUUUGGUUUUAUCGAAGCAUUAAAAUUAUCAUAUUUUUACAAAUUUCCAAAAUAUUUGGCAUUCAUGAUUCUCGGGAAAGAUUGUGUCCUAACUUACUGGAUUGCGAUUAUUUUUCGAUGAAUUUAGAAAGCCAAGUAUUUGUUUUGCAAUAAAUUCGCAAAUUUUAAAUAAAAGCUUAUUCUCAAGAAUUCAAAAUGUUGGGUCCUAACUUACUGGCCAUGACAUUUUCUUCUCGAAAUAAGAAUUUUCAAAAGCAAAAGGCAAUAUUCGGGUAUUUUGAAGAUUUAAAAACAUUGUGCCCUAACUCACUAGGUGUGGUGUUUUAUUUCUUUGAAAUAAGAAUGUCUUAUUAUUUUAAUUCGUUCAUGAAAUAAAAAGUUUCCUUUUAAAAUCUUUUCAAAUUUUCGACACCAAGGCAUUAAAAAAUCAAUUUGGUACCAAUUUUGGGCGUUACGAGGGUGCUAAUCCUUCCUCGUGCGUAACUGACUCCCGAACUUGUUUUCUCAAAUUUCGUAGACCAAAAUUAUUUUUAAGGUGGGCCGAUCACACCUUAAUAAAGGAUCGGUGGCGACUCCAUUUUUGUUUUUUAAAGUCGACAACUAAAAUUUUGUUUUCAAAAAAGCAGUUUCGACAGCUUGGCGACUCCACUGGGGACUUUAGAGAGUCGAGCCAUAAACUGAUUAUGUUUGUCUUUGUGUCAGAAAUCAAAAGUUUUUUUAAAAAAAUUCAUGAGUUCCCUUCAUACUCAUUGAUUUUUUUCCCAUCAUGGUGUUAGUAACUUUGUAUUUGCAUUUACAUUUUGCAUUACAUGGUCAGUUUUACCCUUUAAGUGGGACCGAGAAACUAGUCCUUCGUGAGGUCUUCACCUCCGUGCAGGGUAGUGGACCGCUUCCGGGAUACAUCCGUACCUAUGUCUUCGUGAGAUUUUCAUCUCCGUGCAGCCAUAGAGAAAUGUAUCCCCCUGAACUAAACUUGAUCCACAUGAGCCUAUAAUGGGUGAGGAUCGAGGAAUCUGCUGGUUCGGGUACCCUUACUCUAGAAACUAAACCUCAUAUAGUGCACUUUAGGAACUUGCCCUAGGUAGAGCUAUACCAAACCUUAGGGGAUUCCUGAAUAAAUGCUUUUGCUAUUUCAUGUUUGUAUUGGAUUAUAUCUUUUUGGUGUGAUACUGACUUGGGUUUAUUUUGUUUCGAUUGCAUGACAUCAUGAUUGCAUUGCAUUUUCAUUAUAAAAAGAGGUGUUGAUUCACGUUCGGUUGUUAAAUAGAGAACUUGUCAUAAGAAAAUGGGUUUCUUUAUAAAGUAGAAAAUAAUACGGUUGCCCGAAUAUGUUCCGAGAAAACACAACAAGAGAAAGAUAAUAGUUUAAUGGAGGAUUACACAACCAUUGCUCCGUUGCCCGAAGACUCAAGCUGACGAAGAUUAUUCGAGAGCCGCUGAACUUUUUUUAAAGGGAAGCCAACGAGCAUCACGACGAUAAAGGAGCAACGAGUCACGGCCCGGAUCAAGUAAAAAGGAGAUAGAAGAGACAUCCCUUUUGAAGAGUUUGUGAGAUUUAUCUUAAUGCUUGAAUGAAGAAGAGGAUCGAAUGACUCCGCCUAUAAGGGCAAAAUCGUAUAUAUAUCUGCUUUAUGUAAAGAGAUUUAUUUUCUAGUAAAGUUGUUCUAAUAGAAUUGAACCAAGAAUCAACGUCUCUUUUCGCAUUCACUUCAUUACGUGCAUUAAGGACCAUUAAAAGACCCUAAUUGAGUAAAUUUAUUUCAGCUAAAAAACCAACAUUCUUGCGGUACCCGAACAGAAACUAAAAGAAUGGGCCAAAGGUUGGAGAGAUUAGAGCUGAUGCAAAUACAGAUGCUAGAGCAAUUGGCCAAAUUUCAAAAAGAUAUGAAGGAUCAGAUGCUAGAAAUCCAAAGAAAUUUGAUGAGCCAGUUAACCCAGUUAUUGGAUAUGAGGUUAGGAAAAGGAAAAAACCCAGUGGUCCACAUUGGGAAUGAUAAUGAAGGCCCUGCAUAUCUUCCAGGCUUUACCCCAACAAACAUCCAAGCACAACCAAACACAUAUCCACAAAGGGUAACUGUUAACAUUCGACCACAGUACCAGACCAAUACCUCGACACCGGUGAAUUUCGCGACAGGCUCAGGUUCCAAUCUUAGGGGAAAUCUAACUAAUCCUGUUGUCUUCGAUGAUCUAGCAGAAACAAAACAGGCGAAAGUAGAGUUUUCAAAACAAUUUGAAAAUCGUUGCAAACGGAAUGGCCAAGAGUGGAACUCUCAAGACAAUGCUUCAAAAGUCUCGAGGAAGAGGAAAAAUAAGGUGAAUAAUAUGGGUAGGUAUAACGAGAGUUGUUCAAAGCCGAUUACCGCAAACCAGCCAAAGACAGUUACUAUUGGCCAUCAGAUCCCUCCAAGACAAGAAUCUGGCACAAAGCAAAACAUUAAGAAGUCUCAAUUUGCACCAAUCCCAAUAUUGUACCAGGAGCUGUAUCAAAGUUUGUUUGACGCACAUGUUGUCUCCCCUUUCUACUUGAAGCCUUUACAACCUCCGUAACCCAAAUGGUACGACACAAAUGCACAAUGUGACUAUCAUGCGGGAAUUACGGGGCAUUCUAUAGAAAAUUGCACUGCCUUUAGAAAGCUGGUCGAAAGGUUUAUCAAUAUGGGCAUUGUCAAAUUUGAGGAUUUAUUCAGUACAGAAAACCCGCUACUCAAUCAUACGGAUAAUGAAGGGACUGCGAUGAAUGAAGAAAUGUUGGGAAAUGUACACAUCAGUGCCGAACACGAAGAAACAACUGGAGAAGAGAUCUUGUUAGAUGUUCGCCCUUUAUAAACCUGGGAAUGUUCUAAAUAGUUGGACUGCAGAGGAAACCCUGUAGUAUUUAGAGUUUGUUAGAGUAAUGUUCAGAACACACUUGUUGCUAUCAGCCUAGAAGCAAUAAGAAUUUCUUUGUGAAAUAGGCUCACGUCUGAAUAUUAUUAUUUUAAUGAAUACAUUAUUGCAAUCAUCUUUGAGCAAAUGUUCUUUCAGUCUUUACGUUUUCGUCGUUCUUUUUUAUUUUUUCUACUAAACCAUUCAUUCACUCAUUCAUAUUAUUCAUACAUUCUUUUUUAUAUUCUUUGGUACCCACUAUGGGUCCCCAAAUAUCAAUGACAUGAGUGACGCUGCUACAGACCCAAAAUCUCCUUUUGAGUGAGACAUGUGUUUAGAUGGAUCUCACAACUUUGAAGAUGACAUGGAUUGUAGCUUAUUUCUGGACUUAUUAAGGAUGGUAGAGCAGGAAGGAAAUUUUACCUCAUGAGGAGACAAUAGAAACUGUGACCUUGAGGCAACAUGCAUAACCGAAAAAACAAAGCAAGACGUUGUUGGGUUACUUCAAGCAUUCAAAGAUGCCUUCGCAAUGACAUACCAGGAUGUGCCCGGUUUAAGCACUGUUAUUGCAAUCUGAACAACAACACGAUAUCAGAAAUUUGCAGUAUGUUCAAGGUGAAUAUCAUAAAUGGUGUAGUGAAAACUCUACCGGGGCAAUGCCACUCUUUUCAGUUUAUCACGAUUUUUUCAUUGAAGUUGAAAUUCUUUCUCUUCGAGUUUUGACUAAGCUGAAGUAGGAUAAAGAUCCAAUCCCGACACGAUUAGUUGAACUUAAUUAAAGAAAAAGGCUAGAAACUAUUCAUCAGGGUCAGAUGUACCAAGAAAUGAAUGAUGCGAGCCUAUAGCAAAAGGUUUGUCCCAGAGAAUUCCACAAUGGCAACCUAAUGCUGAAGAAGAUCCUCACUCUACAAAGAAUAUAACAGAUGCCAAAUUGGGAAAAACAUUAUGUUAUAGAGAAGGUCUUUUCCAAAGGAGCUUUGAUUUUGAGCGAGAUGGAUAAUAAACCUGCAAAGUCCUGUAAACUCAGGUUCAGUCAGGAAAUACUCCGCUUAAAGAAUGAGAUGACCAAGGUGAAAACCCACAAAGGGUGCUUUGAGUCCAAAAAAUAAAAAUUAAAAAAGAGAAAAAUGGAGAGGCUAAGGUGAAAACCCGCAAAGGGCGCCUUAGACCAAAGGGGAUUUGAGUUGAAAACCCGAAAAGGGCGGCUCAAAUAUUGAUUAGAAUGGGGCAUGAGAUUAUCGGAGUAGCUCAAAUACUGAUCAGAAUGGGGCAUGCAAUGGUCUUGCUAUACCUAAAUCAACAGGAAAGGGUAGGCGACAUCUUGGGGCAUCGACAAAGUACUCCUAAACACAUGUCAAACUCAGAAUGAUCUUCAGAAAGUCUGUACAGCAAAGUUCAAGCUGCGAUAUUUACGGCACCUAAUCUUUAUAUUAUUUUUUGUUAUUUUUGGAACACUUCAUUCAUUUCCAAGAUAUGUGUUCCUAAAUCAAUUUCUUUGUUAUCCAUCUUUAUUAUCUUUGACAGCUUAUUCAUUUCGAGCUAUGCUCAGAACCAACUCAAUUCUUAUCCAUGAUCUUUUUUUGCAAGCAUGUUGCAUUAGAAUAAUGAUUAAUGGACCAAUAAAACUUUCACAAGGGAAGUUUUGCAUAUUACCCUAGAAGUUUCUGAAUAAUAUAGGAACCUCAAACAAGACUAUUGUUUAGAACGCACCAGGUUGGAAAUAUGAUAAAGAAGAGUCUAAAUUAAGACAAUCCCUUUGAAUUUUCUUGUCUAAAGUGUUAAUUGAACAAAAUGGCAAGAUGUUGUGUUGGUGACAAAGCUUAAAUGAAUAAGCAAGCAAUGAUCACUGAAUAAUAAUAAGAAGUUGUUCUUGGAGAAGAAUAUUCUUCAUUUGUGCAUGAGCAUUUGGUAUGACUCCCUAGAAAUGGUGAAAAUGACAAAAGAGCUUCAGAUUCUACAUCCUUGAAUUGUGAUAGUGGAGGAUUGAGAAAAGACCAAAUCUUUUACUCUUGGGUUACAACGGGAGAAAGAUGGUACAAAUUUUGCAUCCCAGUGGAUCAAACUUGAAGGUUUAUAGUGAGGGGCAAUCUGGUCAAGUGUUUCUUUAGAGACACCAGCCGAGCAAAAGGUGUUAUAGCACAUUAGUGAUGAAACCUUAAUAAAUUUGGAGUAAUAAUAACUCAAGUGUUAAAAUAUUAUUUUCAUGACAUUCUGCAUUUAUUCAAAUGUCAUUCAUACAUGUCUAGUUAGGAGCAUUUGAUUUAUUCUGAUCAUGACAUCCUAAUCACUAGGCAUAAUUAGGUUCAUAAAGUUUAUUAUACAGGUCAUGUUCCCCAGAGAACAGAUCAGUGAUGAUAACAGAUCUUGCCUUCCUGCAUCGACAGUGAAGCAGAUCGAAGACACCAACCUCGUCUCCCUCGGAGACAGUGGAGCAGGUUGAAGAUAACAGAUCUUGCCUUCUUGCAUAGACAGCAGAGCAGAUCAAAGAUGGCGAAUUUUACCUCCCUGUGGUUACAGUGGAGUACAUUGAAGCCAGUAAUUCUACUUUCCUAGGCUGCAGCGGAAUAGAUUGAGGAUUUUAGAUCUUGCCUCCCUAAGCAGUAGUGGAGCAGGUCAAAGAUGGCGAAUUUUACCUCCCUUUGGUUACGGUGGAGUACAUUGAAGCCAGUAAUUUUACUUCCCUGGGCUGCAGCAGAAUAGAUUGAGGAUUUUAGAUCUUGCCUCCCUAAGCAGUAGUGGAGCAGGUCAAAGAUGGUGGAUUUUACCUCCCUGUGGUUACAGUGGAGUACAUUGAAGCCAAUAAUUCUACUUCCCUGAACAGUAGUGGAAUAGAUUGAGGAUUUUAGAUCUUGCCUCCCUAAGCAGUAGUGGAGCAGGUCAAAGAUGGCGGAUUUUACCUCCCUGUGGUUACAGUGGAGUACAUUGAAGCCAAUAAUUCUAUCUCCCUGGGCAGCAGUGGAAUAGACUGAAGAUUUUAGAUCUUGCCUUCCUGCAUAGAUAGCGAAGUAGAUCGAAGACAGCAGAUUUUACCUCCCUGUGGUUGCAGUGGAGUACAUUGAAGCCAGUAAUUCUAUCUCCCUGGGCAGCAGUGGAAUAGAUUGAAGAUUACAGAUCUUGUCUCCCUAAGCAGUGGUGGAGCAUAUCAAAGAUGACAGAUUUUACCUCCUCGUGGUUACAGUGGAGUACAUUGAAGCCAGUAAUUCUAUCUCCCUGGGCAACAGUGGAAUAGAUUGAAGAUUACAGAUCUUGUCUCCCUAAGCAGUAGUGGAGCAGAUCAAAGAUGGCAGAUUUUACCUCUCCGUGGUUACAGUGGAGUACAUUGAAGCCAUUAAUUCUAUCUCCCUAGGCAGAAGUGGAAUAGAUUGAAGAUUACAGAUCUUGUCUCCCUAAGCAGUAGUGGAGCAGAUCAAAUAUGGCAGAUUUUACCUCCCUGAGGUUGUAGUGGAGUAUAUUGAAGCCAGUAAUUCUAUUCCCCCGGUCGGCAGUGGAAGUAGAUCAAAGAUACCAGAUCUUGUCUUCCCAUACUGGUGGCGAAGCAGAUCGAAGAUGGCAGAUUUUACCUCCCUAAGAUUACAGUGGAGUACAUUGAAGCCAGUUAUUCCUAUUUCCUUGGAUUAAAAUUACAGAUCUCAUCUCUCUGAAGUUGCAGUAGAGCAGAUCGCAUCAAGAUUUAUCUUUUGGUUGUAGCAGAACAAAUUGAAGCUAUAAGUCUUAUUUCCCUGAAGUUACAGUGGAGCAGAUUAAAGAUAGCAAACUUUGUUCUUAUGAGAAGCUACAACAUAUGAAUCCUAUCUCCCUAACAUUUCAGUGGAGUAGAUCGAAGCACCAGUUCCUAUACCUCUGAAGAUGCAGUAGGAAGGAACAAGGCUACUGGAAAGAGAAGCAUUAAAGAAGUUGAGGCUCAAUAAGACCGGGCACAAUUGGGCCUUGUAGUCUUUGCUCUAUUCCCGUUACACGAUAAUGAGCAAAAAGGGGCAGCUGUACAAACCCAACAAUGCCCGGGCCCAACUAAACCUAGAAUGGCCAAACAGCUAACCCUAGCCCGCUAGCCCAAAGCAGAAACCACUACAGAAACCCUAGGCUGUUAGCAGCAAGUUUAGCGCCGCAACGGCCUCGCCAAUGUAGCACCCCUCGCUCCCGCACUUUGCGCGUCAAUCCCGCACAUCGCGUCGUCGCGAAUCUCGCACCUUCCCCAUAACCACGUACCUGCAACAAGCGAAAGAGAAUAGCAAAAGAUCCGGCCAACAAAGAGAAACAGAAGGGAUUUCUUUCGAUUUUGGUUUCAUUUUUUCCCAUUUUCGGCUAUUUAAAAGGCCAUUUAGAAAUCUGUAAAGGGGGGAGUGUAAAAAAGAUACUAAAAUAGAGGGACCGAAAGAAAUACAAAGGCACAGAGGAAAUUUUCUUUUUUUUUUGAAAUAAAAAGGUUUUUUUUUUUUGUCGAUUAUCGUUCUUUCAUUUUUUUUCUUCAUUUGUACAUAUAUAUAUAUUUGAUUUUUUUACUUUCGCUAUUUUUUUUAUUUAUUUUUGCUUAAAAUAUAAAGAAAGGAAGAGAAAACCUACCUUUUUCGCCGGAAUCGCCGAGUUGGUGCCCCUCUCUGUCGCGAUCGGAGAUCGGGGCAUCGACGGAAGCCUUGGCACGAGGCUGAGCGGUGGCAUAUAAGGGUUGAGGAAACCCUAAAAUGGUCUGGUUUCUCCUUUGGAAAGGGGAACCCAAAAGAACA
Molecule: long non-coding RNA, 9295 nt
Filed under: Gossypium barbadense (sea-island cotton)
Lineage: Eukaryota; Viridiplantae; Streptophyta; Magnoliopsida; Malvales; Malvaceae
Description: long non-coding RNA (GBAR_LNC015781)
Source: RNAcentral